CAAUUCUUCAGUGCUCAGGCUUCUUUACACUUCAACUCUCAACAUGAAUACUGGAAAAAUCAUAGCUUUGACUAGAUGGACCUUUGUCAGGAAAGUGAUUUCUGCCCACUUAACUGUGAAAAAGAUUUUUGCUGGUGACAUUAAAGAAGACACUGAGGACAUCACCUAAGAGAUGAUUUUGAACAGUAUGGGAAAGCUGAAGUGAUUGAAAUCAUGACUGACUGAGGCAGUGGCAAAAUAAGAGGCUUUGCUUUCAUAGCCUUUGAUGACCAUGACUCCAUAGACAAGAUAAGACUCCGUAGACAAGGUUCAGAAAUACCACAUUGUGAAUGGCCACAACUGUGCGACCCAUGGACAGAGGAAAUCUUGGAGGCCCUUAUGGUGGUGGAGGCCAAUACUUUGCCAAACCACGAAGCCAAGGUAUUUAUGGCACUUCCAGCAGCUGCAGUAGAUAUAGCAGUGGCAGGAGGUUUUAAUUACUGUCAGGAGACAAAGCUUAGCAGGAAAGGGGAUUCAGAGUAGUGACAGGGAAGCUACAGAUUACAACAGGUUUGUGAAUUCAGCCAAACACAAUGGUGGCAGAGCCCGCAAAGAAGACAUGCUUUAGAGUAUGCCCAUGAGUAUGGAUGGGCAAAAAACUUGAGGACCAUGUUUGUGAUUAGUUGUAUAACUGAUUAUUUUAGCUUCUGUUCUGUGGAAGGUGUAAGGCAAUUCCAAUAAAGGACUGUAAACUCUGA
Bubalus bubalis (water buffalo) is the source of this 737-nucleotide long non-coding RNA. RefSeq lists it as uncharacterized. The transcript has 2 exons. Lineage: Eukaryota; Metazoa; Chordata; Mammalia; Artiodactyla; Bovidae. The record is from RefSeq and is a predicted model, not a curated record.